AUUGAACGCUGGCGGCAGGCUUAACACAUGCAAGUCGAGCGGGGAAGGGUAGCUUGCUACCUGACCUAGCGGCGGACGGGUGAGUAAUGCUUAGGAAUCUGCCUAUUAGUGGGGGACAACAUUCCGAAAGGAAUGCUAAUGCCGCAUACGCCCUACGGGGGAAAGCAGGGGACCUUCGGGCCUUGCGCUAUCAGAUGAGCCUAGGUCGGAUUAGCUAGUUGGUGAGGUAAUGGCUCACCAAGGCGACGAUCCGUAACUGGUCUGAGAGGAUGAUCAGUCACACUGGAACUGAGACACGGUCCAGACUCCUACGGGAGGCAGCAGUGGGGAAUAUUGGACAAUGGGCGAAAGCCUGAUCCAGCCAUGCCGCGUGUGUGAAGAAGGUCUUCGGAUUGUAAAGCACUUUAAGUUGGGAGGAAGGGCAUUAACCUAAUACGUUAGUGUUUUGACGUUACCGACAGAAUAAGCACCGGCUAACUCUGUGCCAGCAGCCGCGGUAAUACAGAGGGUGCAAGCGUUAAUCGGAAUUACUGGGCGUAAAGCGCGCGUAGGUGGUUUGUUAAGUUGGAUGUGAAAUCCCCGGGCUCAACCUGGGAACUGCAUUCAAAACUGACUGACUAGAGUAUGGUAGAGGGUGGUGGAAUUUCCUGUGUAGCGGUGAAAUGCGUAGAUAUAGGAAGGAACACCAGUGGCGAAGGCGACCACCUGGACUAAUACUGACACUGAGGUGCGAAAGCGUGGGGAGCAAACAGG
This 753-nucleotide ribosomal RNA is filed under the name uncultured Pseudomonas sp. RNAcentral describes it as "bacterial SSU rRNA". It matches the Rfam family "Bacterial small subunit ribosomal RNA", at positions 28 to 776 of the family's 1533-position model. Lineage: Bacteria; Pseudomonadati; Pseudomonadota; Gammaproteobacteria; Pseudomonadales; Pseudomonadaceae. The record is from RNAcentral.